CCGCAGCGCACGAGGUUCGGCGGCGCGUCGACUAGCGGUGACGGCGCCACAAGCGUGAGGUGCGUCGCUGCAAGGCGCUCGAACGGGUAGCCAGCCAUCGCCGUCGGCGACGAAGGCAGCGGGCGGCUGCGCAUCGCCUGCACGGGCGAGGGCGUGGUGUUCGUGGCCACAUUGGCUGACUUCCUGGCGGACGUCGAGCUCCUCGACCUGCCCUCCGGCGUGCCGCUACUGGACGAGCUCGCCGCUGGCCCCGCCCUCUGGCGCGCAGCUGCUAGGCGAGCUCUCCGCUGGACUCGGUACCGAUGGGUUCCGCCCCUCGGACCUGCUGCUGCUCGUGCAGGUCACGGAUUUCGCCUGCAGUGGGUUCGUCGCCGGCAAGUUGCUCUUCAGUGCUGAUGCUGGACAAAAUAUCAUUAAGGAACCUCAACUUAUAGCUCCCCAAAAUGAAAGAAAUGAUCAAGUUCGUUCAAAGAAAUGAUAAGGGCGUCAAAGGAGGAGUACGAGCAACUUCCUCCCUACAUGAAGAGUCUAGCAUCCUGGGAAGUCUGAAUUUCUUACCUACUUGGACGCUUGUAGUUCCGCCCAUAGAAAUUUAUGCAUGCUGGAUAUGCAUAGUCACAAAAUUACAACAUGUGGUUCUUGAAAUUAGUAACUUUACAACAUGUGGUUCGUGAUUCAUGAGCCAGGGCAAUAGCAAUGUUAUCAGUGUGGUCUGCCUCAGAGUUGCGCUGUUUUGUUGCAUUAGGAAUUGCAGGAUGGAAUAUGCGAAUUAAAUUUAUACUUUGGCAGUAACAAUGCAUUGAAUCAAGAUGGUACUAGAGCAUUAGGACUUGGUAUGUGCAGUUACUUCUCUUCUCCUAUAAAUUUGGAAAUUUCAAAUGUUAUAGCACUCUGAAGAAAAACUUUUUGUUAGGUUGCUGUUUCAUUGCCACAUGCUCUUGAUGAAUUUUUGGUUGUGUUAUGGUAGUUAGCCAUGGUUCUUACAUGUGGCAAAAUUACACUCUUUGAGGAUAGCAAUCGUGGUUUUCAAAUAUUAAUUUUUAGAAGUAUUAUGAUAUAAGGUUUGAGAAUUUAUUCUUAAAUGUGUGGAAAUCAUCCUAAAUUUCAUUAAAAUAAAUCCACUAAUGCAUUUGUGGACGUUGCAUAUCUUUGUAAUACUGAAGUUGAGAUGAUGCCUUCAUGCAACAGCAAAGAAAAUUGAAAAGGAAAUGAAAGGUGUUGAUCUAAAUGUUCAUGCACCUGUCAUCCUUAUGUUAGAAAAAAGCCAUUCAUUAUUUUCACAUCCCAGGAACAAUUGGAGUUUGAGUACAUAUGCACAAUUUAGAUUGCCACUGUGCUGUAUAGAGUACACAAGUACCAUAAUGCACACCCUGCACCUGUAGUUACUUAUACUCAUUUGUGAUCUUUGUGAUAGGUUUUGACUUUGGAGUAUAAUGCAUGUAUCCUGUACUCAUUGUGCAACAGAAGGCCCCUGGUUUUGUUAUUCUUCCUGCUCUCCUAUGUUUAUUUCUAAUUUUCUCGUGUGGUUUCUUAACAGGCUGGUAAAUUGCCAAUAGAAGUUGUUGCAUCCAGAGGAUAGACGGUAUGCAUUGAGAUUGAUUUACUUGUAACAAACCCUUUGAAGAAAUUUCCAAACUUGAGCAUUCCUCAAAUGCUUAAACAAGAAGCAUGCAUUCUUGCUCUCUAAUAUUUAUUUGAUUCUAUUGCUGGAUUUAACUA
Molecule: long non-coding RNA, 1719 nt
Organism: Panicum virgatum (switchgrass)
Lineage: Eukaryota; Viridiplantae; Streptophyta; Magnoliopsida; Poales; Poaceae
Exons: 3
Source: RefSeq, a predicted model, not a curated record